CAUGCAAGUCGAGGGGUAACAGGGAUUGCUUGCAAUCCGCUGACGACCGGCGCACGGGUGCGUAACGCGUAUGCAACCUACCUUCUACAGGGGGAUAGUCAAUAGAAAUGUUGAAUAAUACCCCAUACGAUCUUUGAAUAGCAUUAUUUAAAGAAGAAAGUUCCGGCGGUAGAAGAUGGGCAUGCGUCCUAUUAGUUAGUUGGAGAGGUAACGGCUCCCCAAGACAUCGAUAGGUAGGGGUCCUGAGAGGGAGACCCCCCACACUGGUACUGAGACACGGACCAGACUCCUACGGGAGGCAGCAGUGAGGAAUAUUGGACAAUGGAGGCAACUCUGAUCCAGCCAUGCCGCGUGCAGGAAGACUGCCCUAUGGGUUGUAAACUGCUUUUAUACAGGAAGAAAUAUACCUACGUGUAGGUAUUUGACGGUACUGUACGAAUAAGGAUCGGCUAACUCCGUGCCAGCAGCCGCGGUAAUACGGAGGAUCCAAGCGUUAUCCGGAAUCAUUGGGUUUAAAGGGUCCGUAGGCGGUCUUUUAAGUCAGAGGUGAAAUCCUACAGCUCAACUGUAGAAUUGCCUUUGAUACUGAAGGACUUGAGUUAUUGUGAAGUAGUUAGAAUGUGUGGUGUAGCGGUGAAAUGCAUAGAGAUCACACAGAAUACCGAUUGCGAAGGCAGAUUACUAACAAUAUACUGACGCUGAGGGACGAAAGCGUGGGUAGCGAACAGGAUUAGAUACCCUGGUAGUCCACGCCGUAAACGAUGGAUACUAGCUGUUCGACCAACAUU
RNAcentral lists this ribosomal RNA (788 nucleotides) under uncultured Bacteroidota bacterium. Its description in RNAcentral is "bacterial SSU rRNA". It matches the Rfam family "Bacterial small subunit ribosomal RNA", at positions 54 to 835 of the family's 1533-position model. The record is from RNAcentral. Lineage: Bacteria; Pseudomonadati; Bacteroidota.